AACUCUUUUAAAUUAGUCCAGAGAGGCUGAUAAGGAGUUCCCAAUAGUGAUGGCGCUUUUGUGCCGUCUGCUAUGCCGAACUCUUAUGACCUCUCAUAAGAGUUAUUUUUUG
Molecule: small RNA, 112 nt
Filed under: Brochothrix thermosphacta
Lineage: Bacteria; Bacillati; Bacillota; Bacilli; Caryophanales; Listeriaceae
Description: PyrR
Rfam family: PyrR binding site
About the family: This family represents the PyrR binding site and terminator structure. This RNA structure is found upstream of a variety of genes involved in pyrimidine biosynthesis and transport. The alignment also includes a portion of the antiterminator structure.
Source: RNAcentral